This 395-nucleotide ribosomal RNA is filed under the name Bacillus velezensis. RNAcentral's name for it is "bacterial SSU rRNA". It matches the Rfam family "Bacterial small subunit ribosomal RNA", at positions 39 to 438 of the family's 1533-position model. Lineage: Bacteria; Bacillati; Bacillota; Bacilli; Caryophanales; Bacillaceae. The record is from RNAcentral.
GCGGCGUGCUUAACACAUGCAAGUCGAACGAUGAAGCCUUUCGGGGUGGAUUAGUGGCGAACGGGUGAGUAACACGUGGGCAAUCUGCCCUUCACUCUGGGACAAGCCCUGGAAACGGGGUCUAAUACCGGAUAACACUCUGUCCCGCAUGGGACGGGGUUAAAAGCUCCGGCGGUGAAGGAUGAGCCCGCGGCCUAUCAGCUUGUUGGUGGGGUGAUGGCCUACCAAGGCGACGACGGGUAGCCGGCCUGAGAGGGCGACCGGCCACACUGGGACUGAGACACGGCCCAGACUCCUACGGGAGGCAGCAGUGGGGAAUAUUGCACAAUGGGCGAAAGCCUGAUGCAGCGACGCCGCGUGAGGGAUGACGGCCUUCGGGUUGUAAACCUCUUCAG